Molecule: ribosomal RNA, 544 nt
Filed under: uncultured bacterium
Lineage: Bacteria
Description: bacterial SSU rRNA
Rfam family: Bacterial small subunit ribosomal RNA
Source: RNAcentral
AAUAGAUACCCGGGUAGUCCACGCCGUAAACGAUGAGUGCUAAGUGUUAGGGGGUUUCCGCCCCUUAGUGCUGCAGCUAACGCAUUAAGCACUCCGCCUGGGGAGUACGGUCGCAAGACUGAAACUCAAAGGAAUUGACGGGGGCCCGCACAAGCGGUGGAGCAUGUGGUUUAAUUCGAAGCAACGCGAAGAACCUUACCAAGUCUUGACAUCCCACUGACCGCUAUGGAGACAUAGUUUUCCCUUCGGGGACAGUGGUGACAGGUGGUGCAUGGUUGUCGUCAGCUCGUGUCGUGAGAUGUUGGGUUAAGUCCCGCAACGAGCGCAACCCUUGAUCUUAGUUGCCAUCAUUUAGUUGGGCACUCUAAGGUGACUGCCGGUGACAAACCGGAGGAAGGUGGGGAUGACGUCAAAUCAUCAUGCCCCUUAUGACCUGGGCUACACACGUGCUACAAUGGACGGUACAAACGGUUGCCAACCCGCGAGGGGGAGCUAAUCCGAUAAAAUCGUUCUCAGUUCGGAUUGUAGGCUGCAACUCGCCUAC